RNAcentral lists this ribosomal RNA (468 nucleotides) under uncultured bacterium. RNAcentral's name for it is "bacterial SSU rRNA". It matches the Rfam family "Bacterial small subunit ribosomal RNA", at positions 29 to 506 of the family's 1533-position model. The record is from RNAcentral.
ACGAACGCUGGCGGCGUGCUUAACGCAUGCAAGUCGAACGAGGUCCAUGCAGUGGCAACACUGCGGAAGACCUAGUGGCGAACGGGUGAGUAACACGUGAGGAACCCACCCCGGAGACCGGGAUAAGCCCUCGAAAGGGGGUCUAAUACCGGAUGCCCUCACCGGAUCGCAUGGUCCGAUGAGGAAAUGGAUUCCGCUCCGGGACGGCCUCGCGGCCUAUCAGCUUGUUGGUGGGGUAACGGCCCACCAAGGCAUAGACGGGUAGCUGGUCUGAGAGGACGGUCAGCCACACUGGGACUGAGACACGGCCCAGACUCCUACGGGAGGCAGCAGCGGGGAAUAUUGCGCAAUGGGCGAAAGCCUGACGCAGCAACGCCGCGUGAGGGAUGAAGGCUCUCGGGUUGUAAACCUCUUUCAGCAGGGACGAAAACAGACGGUACCUGCAGAAGAAGCCCCGGCCAACUACGU